UGUUCUACGUGUAUUAUGGAAUAAUGAAAAGAUCCCAUGCCACCACCUUACUAUUUACACGGGGCAAAUUAGUCAAGUACAGGUCCACAUGACUUGGAAGUACUUUGGAAUAGCCUAUAAAUAGGAGUGUAGAGGAAAUGAAGGCGACAAUCCUAUCUAGAAAUGAAGACGAUCGUUCUGAUUUGCGUUCUGCUGGCCUCCCUUCUUUUCUCCUCCCCUUCGUUUAUUGUGGCUCGCGAACUACUAGCUACUCCUCGGGAUGGAUCUACUGUUGGAACGGGGAAACCCAACAAGCCAAAAGUAUCAUGCGGAGAUCAUCCGGGUGAUCCAUAUGGUAGAUGCAUAGGAUCAACACCAAAGCCGCCCCACAAGUGUCAGCCAAAAGGCGUAUAUGGAGGCCGCGCUUGCAAGCCACCUCAAGGACCUUGAAUCAGUAGUACUACUUAAUUAUUGUGGUGUGGUGAAAGUAUGAAUAAAUAGUACUUAUGUUAUGCUUUGAGAAUAAAUAGGAUUUCGUUGGACUUGACCAUGAUUAAUAUUGUAAUGGAGCUCGUUCGAUCGAGCUUCCUUCAUGCAGUAUGGAAAUAUAUAUGUAAAAUAUGCUGCAUCUUGAUAUGCUGUACUAGUGUUUGCCAAUAAAUUAAAAAAUGGAGCUGACCGAAAUAGUUUUGGUCAUCUUGUUGUCCUAUA
Carya illinoinensis is the source of this 690-nucleotide long non-coding RNA. RefSeq lists it as uncharacterized. The record is from RefSeq and is a predicted model, not a curated record. The transcript is spliced from 2 exons. Lineage: Eukaryota; Viridiplantae; Streptophyta; Magnoliopsida; Fagales; Juglandaceae.